This 479-nucleotide ribosomal RNA is filed under the name Acrapex incrassata. RNAcentral's name for it is "partial 16S ribosomal RNA". Lineage: Eukaryota; Metazoa; Arthropoda; Insecta; Lepidoptera; Noctuidae. The record is from RNAcentral.
AUGUCUUUUUGGAAAUAAUAUAAAGUCUAAUCUGCCCACUGAUAUAAUAUUGAAGGGCUGCAGUAUAUUGACUGUACAAAGGUAGCAUAAUCAUUAGUCAUUUAAUUGAUGACUUGAAUGAAGGAUUUGAUGAGAUAUAAACUGUCUCUUAAUUAAUUGUAGAAUUUAAUUUUUUUAUUAAAAAGUUAAAAUAGUUUAAAAAGACGAGAAGACCCUAUAGAGUUUAAUAAAUAGUUUAAUUAAGAUUAUUUGGAAAUUUAAACUUAAAAUUAAUUUAUUUAUUUUAUUGGGGUGAUAGAAAAAUAUAUUAAACUUUUUUUUUAAAAAAAACAUUUAUAAGUGAUUAAAUGAUCCAAUAAUAUUGAUUAUAAGAAAAAAUUACCUUAGGGAUAACAGCGUAAUUUUUUUUUUUAGUUCGAAUAAGAAAAAGAGUUUGCGACCUCGAUGUUGGAUUAAGAUAAAAUUUAAAUGUAGAAGUU